AUUAUGGGAAGAGCAUGGCGGGUCAAUUUUUUCAUUGUUUUCCUCCCGUUACGAGGAAAUCUCUUCACUCCAUUUUCAUCCAAAAGGACACUUUUCUUCCACCCUACUUCCAUUUUCAUCUCUUUAAUCUUUCCAUUUCAAAGUCCACCCCUUCAUUUCAUUAAACCUAAGAAAGCAAAUAGAGAAACAAGUAAAGAGAAAGCUUGAGGGCAACUUCUUUCAGGUAUGAGUUGUGGAAAGUGAAGAAGAAAAAAAAAUCAAAGUUAGGAGGCUAAGGCUUUCGGCCAAGGCGGGAAUUUGAUAAAUCAAAGGCAAAAAUAUAGGAGGAGGAAUAAUGCCCUGUUCGGCUACACUUGUGGAGAUGAAUUGGUGCAAAGAGAAGCAAGGAGGGUAAAGAAGCAAACUUAGGGUCUUGGGGUGCCUAGAGUGAUGUAGAUAAAGGAAGUAACUUUCCAAAUGAGGAUGAGGGGCUCUUGGAAAUUUAGAUGAAACAACCCAAACUUUUACUUGGUUGAUGGAGACAUGGCAUAAGGCCAUGAAUGGAAAAGCACUUGAAGCAAUUAUAACAGAUCAAGAUAAGGCCAUACAAGUAGCUAUUGAGAAAGUAUUUCCAAAUGCACGUUAUCGUUAUUGCUUAUGGCAGAUCAUGAGAAAAGUGUUAAAGUUUGGCCAUGUCACUAGAGAGCACCAAGACUUCAUGGGAGUAUUUAAGAGAUGCAUUUAAAAAUCAUGGACUAAGGAGCAAUUUGAAUUGAGAUGGUUGGAAAUGAUAGAAAAUUUUGACUUUGCGGAAAAUGAAUGGCUUCAGUCAUUAUAUAAGGAUCGUGAGUGUUGGAUGCCUACCUAUAUGAGAGAUACAUUUUUUUCGGGUAUGUAGUACUAAAUGCAUUUUUUUAUUUGUCAAAUAUUAUUAAGAUCAUGAAUUAUAACGGCUCAAGUAAUUUUCUAUAGUUCCAUCUUUUUAACAUUUUGGUAUAUUUAGUUUCUUAUUUGAAUUUAUAUUUAUUAAUUUAUACACUUGGUGCACACAUUAUUUUCUAUUAUGAUGCCUUCUUUUUUUAACAAAGUGAUAAUGUGUUAU
RNA transcript from Hevea brasiliensis (rubber tree), 1081 nucleotides. RefSeq lists it as uncharacterized. Lineage: Eukaryota; Viridiplantae; Streptophyta; Magnoliopsida; Malpighiales; Euphorbiaceae. The transcript is spliced from 6 exons. The record is from RefSeq and is a predicted model, not a curated record.